GUGUGGGGUGGGUGGUACAAUCCCAGCUUCUAGGAUUCCUCCUAUAUGCACAGCAAGCAAACUCACCCUAAAAGGUCGGAAAAUAGACAACUGGCCACAUAGCAGUCAUCCAGUAACCUAGGCAUUCUCUGUAGAAUCCGUGGGGAAUGAGCAUCCUUGAUGGCUUUUUGAUAUCCUAAAAUUCCCCAGGUCAUGUUAAAAAUCGUCUUCACCUACCCUGAGAUAGAUAACAAAAAGGUUCAGGGCCUAUCAUGAAUUUCUCAGCUUUCCCCCCUUUGUUUUAGAUUUUACCCAAAACUUCAAAGACUAUGCUAGAUGGGAGAUUAGGGACUUUUCUACAAGACAGUUAUUCCAGGCAGGUCCAGGCAGGAUGGGGGUGAACAAUGAGUAGAAAAUGGGUACUCGGGGCGUGGGAGGUGGGGGUGGGUUUCGAGACAGGGUUUCUCUGUGUAACUUUGGAUUCUAUCCUGGCACUUGCUCUGGAGACCAGGCUGGCCUUGAACUCCCAGAGAUCCGCCUGCCUCUGCCUCCUGAGUGCUGGGAUUAAAGGCGUGUGCCAACUCCCGGUUUAGAAGAGGAUUCUACAAAAGUCACUGUUCCUGGAGAUUAAAGUGAAUAAUACUGGCUGGCACCAGUACAUACUGAGAUAUGCUGCUGUUUCCUAGAAAAACAAGAGCAACCUGUGGCCUUGAGAUAUUCCAGUUAGCAGUCAAAUCUGUAAUCUGUACAUUUUAAUAUUUAUUGGGCAAAUGAUGGCUUACUAGGAACUCUUCAGUGCUAGGAAUGGUGAAAAAGAAUUUUUUAUGGAGUUUGAAGGGGAUAGUGUGCACAAAUAACAGGGAAGUAAAGGAAGCAAAAAGGUGGUGGCCAGUGAAAGCUUUACUGGAGUACUUACAGAGACUAAAGGAAGGCUUAGAGGAGGACCUUUGUAGUAAAGGGAACUUGAUUUGAACUAAGAGGAAACUCCCAUGGGCACCCCUGCCUUUAAUACCAGCACUGGAGAGGCAGAGGCAGGCAGGCCUCUGAGUUCAAGACUAGCCUAGUCUACACAUUGAGUUCCAGACCAAGCAAGAGCUGCAUAGUGAGAUCCUAUUGGGGAAAAAAAAGUCUUUAUGGGUUCCAUAGUGGCUAAAGCAAGGAGUAGGAAAUAAAGAAAUAGAAGGAACCUGGCCAGUAUUUGCUGAGUGAGAUGGAGAAUGUUAGUUUCAUCAUCAACUUGUGUUUUGAAUCACUCGGUGGUGGUGGUGGUACAUGCCUUUUAAUCCCAGCACUAGGAAGGCAGACAGACCUCAAGUUUGAGGCUAGCCUGGUCUACAAAUCAAGUUCCAGGACAGACUCCAAAGCUACACAGAGAAACCCUGUCUGGAAAAAAAAGAGACCAGGGAGCCAAAAACAGUGACAAGCAGUAAAGGUGAGUUGCAUUCAUUAUAUACAUUGUAAUUGUAGAACCAGUUAGGCAGUGACAAGGGUUGGAUUCAUUUGACAUUGUAAUAGUAGAACCAAAAUAUUUGCUAACCAGGUGUAUGUCAGGUAUGAUUAGACUUAAAUAAGCUGUAUUUAGUGCUGAUUAAAAAAAAUUCUAGUGCCUAAGCCGGGCGUUGGUGGUGCACGCCUUUAAUCCCAGCACUCAGAGGCAGGCAGAUCUCUGAGUUCGGGACCAGCCUGAUCUACAAGAGCUAGUUCCAGGACAGCCUCCAAAGCCACAGAGAAACCCUGUCUCGAAAAACCAAAAAAAAAAAAAAUUCUAGUGCCUAGAGAGGAUUAUGAUCCUUAGCUACUUGUAACUCUAAGCAUAUUCAGACUAACCAAUGUCACUAUCACUAUAUCUUGCAUUAGCCUUUGUUUUAAUAAAAUCUUCAGAAUUUUGAAGAGUUUUUAAAAAUUGUUUGAUUCUGCAGUACUUAACCAAUAGACAAACUCUCCAUAGACAGGAUGAGAAACCUCUUACAUAGAGCCCAGCAAUGUGUUUUAACAUGCUCUGUGGAUAACUCUGAUGGAUACCAAAGAGUGAAAAUCAUGGCCAGCAACACUGAGGAGAGGCAGCAGGAUCAGCCUGAAGUGGUAAAAGAGGUCCUACGAUUUCUGGGAAACAAGUAGACAGCUGGGAGCUCUACAGCAUGAGCCAAGUUCUUCAAGAUGAGAGUGCUGUGAGGAAUGUAAAGUGGAGGGCAUUGACAAUCACCACACAGGUGGAAGAUGUCUGCAAAUUCUAGUGGCUGCUACAGGAAAGGAGCAAACAUUGCAAGGCAAAGAGUUGUGCACACAAGGAUGGAGGACACUGGGGACUCAACCACAGGAGGAGAGACACUUCUUUUGUGUUGAAGAUAGGAUCUCUCAGCUUCUCGCUCUGGCUGCGUGCUGCCAUACCUCCCUCACCGCAUGGACUUUGUUCUGGAACCCUAAACCCAAAUAAACCCUUCAGAGUUGU
Molecule: non-coding RNA, 2428 nt
Organism: Cricetulus griseus (Chinese hamster)
Lineage: Eukaryota; Metazoa; Chordata; Mammalia; Rodentia; Cricetidae
Source: RefSeq, a predicted model, not a curated record